Molecule: ribosomal RNA, 500 nt
Filed under: uncultured bacterium
Lineage: Bacteria
Description: bacterial SSU rRNA
Rfam family: Bacterial small subunit ribosomal RNA
Source: RNAcentral
GGUUCAGGAUGAACGCUGGCGGCGUGCUUAAUACAUGCAAGUCGAACGAAGCACUUCAGCAGAUCCCUCGGGGUGAAGCCGGUUGUGACUUAGUGGCGGACGGGUGAGUAACGCGUGGGCAACCUGCCUUAUACAGGGGGAUAACAGCUGGAAGCGACUGCUAAUACCCCAUAAGCGCACGGCACCGCAUGAUGCAGUGUGAAAAGAUUUUAUCGGUAUAAGAUGGACCCGCGUCUGAUUAGUUAGUUGGCGGGGUAACGGCCCACCAAGACCGCGAUCAGUAGCCGACUUGAGAGAGUGAUCGGCCACAUUGGGACUGAGACACGGCCCAGACUCCUACGGGAGGCAGCAGUAGGGAAUAUUGCACAAUGGGGGAAACCCUGAUGCAGCCGACGCCGCGUGAGUGAUUGAAGUAUUUCGGUAUGUAAAGCUCUAUCAGCAGGGAAGAUAAUGACGGUACCUGACUAAGAAGCCCCGGCUAACUACGUGCCAGCAGCGGC